This 261-nucleotide ribosomal RNA is filed under the name uncultured bacterium. RNAcentral describes it as "partial 16S ribosomal RNA". It matches the Rfam family "Bacterial small subunit ribosomal RNA", at positions 92 to 354 of the family's 1533-position model. The record is from RNAcentral.
CGACCGGCGCACGGGUGAGUAACACGUAUCCAACCUGCCGAUAACUCGGGGAUAGCCUUUCGAAAGAAAGAUUAAUAUCCGAUAGCAUAUCAAGAUCGCAUGAUCUUGAUAUUAAAGAAUUUCGGUUAUCGAUGGGGAUGCGUUCCAUUAGUUAGUUGGCGGGGUAACGGCCCACCAAGGCGACGAUGCGUAGGGGUUCUGAGAGGAAGGUCCCCCACACUGGUACUGAGACACGGACCAGACUCCUACGGAAGGCAGCAG